CGGGAUGUAGCGCAGCCUGGUAGCGUACUAGCAUGGGGUGCUAGGGGUCGCUGGUUCGAAUCCAGUCAUCCCGACAA
This 77-nucleotide transfer RNA is filed under the name Imtechella halotolerans K1. RNAcentral describes it as "tRNA-Pro". It matches the Rfam family "tRNA". From Rfam's summary of the family: Transfer RNA (tRNA) molecules are approximately 80 nucleotides in length. Their secondary structure includes four short double-helical elements and three loops (D, anti-codon, and T loops). The record is from RNAcentral. Lineage: Bacteria; Pseudomonadati; Bacteroidota; Flavobacteriia; Flavobacteriales; Flavobacteriaceae. RNAcentral also lists the same sequence under 1 other name.